CCAUACUGUUCUCAUGAUAGUCAAUAAGUCUCCCAAGACAUGAUGGUUUUGUAAAGACUCGUUCCCCUGCACACGUGCUCUUGCCUGCCAUCAUGUAAGACGUGCCUUUGCUCCUCCUUUGCCUUCUGCCAUGAUUGUGAGGCCUCCCCAGCCAUGUGGAACUGUGAGUCCAUUAAACCUCCUUCCUUUAUAAAUUACCCAGUCUUGAGUAUGUCCUUACAGCAGUGUGAUAUCAGACUGAUACACAGGGCCUUGGAAGAUGUGAAUGUUGGGAUCUCCAGAUGGGAAGAUAAUCCUGGAUUAUCCUGAUGCAGAAGCUGAGUGAAACGUGUCGAUUUGGAGUCUGUUCCAGAAAAUACCGAUCAACCAUUUGACCUGUUAUAUUUCAGGAGGCUCUUGAAAUAAAACUGGCUCCUGCAUACUUUCCUGCGAAAUGCCCUCACCAGCAGCCGCCAGCCAUGGCACAUUUGCUUCCUUCCUGUGCAUCUCUACAUCGAACACCCACUAGUCAAGACAAACCCGAGAGGGGAAUUAUAACUCCCAGGGAAAGAGGGGGGCUCUAGAGACACCAAGAGUAGGGCUGCAAUUUCAAACUGGGUCAUGAGGCCUCAGGGACCUGUAGGUGGUGAAGCUCAGCUCUGCCGACAGACAUUCCAGCCCUGCAGGGGUGUGGGAAAACUGGUUUCUGUUUCUGUUUUAAAACCUUGUUAUAUUCGAACUAUCUCUCAAAAGCAAUAGUCCGCUGAGCUUAAGUCUUAUACUGAAAAAUGAUUUGAAACCUUUAAAAUAAGCAAGCAUGUUAAAGUUAUAGGAUGGUACUUGGCACCUAAUGAGUCAUCUUUUGCAUGUUACGCAAAUUUCAAGACAACACCAGAUGUUGGGGGAGGAUCACUCUCCAGAGAGGGGAAAAUUACUGUUUUCUGAUUUUUAAAAAAUGAUAAAAACUAUCGCUUACAGACAAAAACUAUUAAAUUUGGGGGUAAUUAUUGCUUUCUCUCUCUGUGUGUGUGUGUAUGUGUGUGUGUGUGUAUAUAUAUAAUAUAUAUUUUUCUUUCUGUGUGUUCAUGUCUCAUAUAUAUCUUAUUAAUUACUGUAGACUCAGCACUUAGUCUACUUUGUGACAUAUAUGAGAUACUAAAAUAUUUGGAGAAAUAAUAAGUGAAUGAAUGUGCCACUACAGACACAGAAACAGUACUAGCCCAGGGAGAGGAACUGGUAGGAACAAAUGGAGAGCUUCAUUCAGUCACCUGGUAAUAGGAUGUUUAUACUAGAAUAUUCUAGAAACAUGUCCCCACUGUAUCUGAAGCCUAUGAACCCAAAACGAGUGUCGUGUGGGAAGACUUUGACUACUGUCAUAUAAAUGCCUGAGAGAAAUUUCGAAUAGAUGUCACAAACUGUCGAUUCAGCCAUUGUCAUGAUUUUUAAAUAAAUAUUGGUAGCCUCCUACGGUUAGAGAUAGAAGAGGAUAUACAUCCUCUCCCUAACAAUCUGGCAAUCAGUCACUGUGUUACAAUAGAAACAAGCCUUAGUCCAAAUUCCUCUAA
Molecule: long non-coding RNA, 1544 nt
Filed under: Papio anubis (olive baboon)
Lineage: Eukaryota; Metazoa; Chordata; Mammalia; Primates; Cercopithecidae
Description: lncRNA (ENSPANG00000038473.1)
Source: RNAcentral